UGGAGACGGGGGCACAGGGUGUGGAAGGUCAUCCCCAGUCCUCCUGGUGCCGCUACAGCCUCAUCACCCUCAGCUCUGCAUUUCCAAGUGCUCCAGCUGGUGGAGGUGCUGGGAUCCCCAAUUCUUACCACUCCACAAAGGCAACCCCCCCAUCCAUGAGUUUCGGUACCUGAUACCCAGCUCUGCCCAAUCCAGGCAGGAUGUAACGCUCUACCAUGGAACCGGGGCACCUCCAGACUUUGGGGGGCAUGUAUUUGGGAUUCUCAUCCUGCUCAUCCCUCCUGCUGUGGCACAACCCGGAUCCAGCCGGGGAGCAGCCCGGGCACAGGGCGGGAGCACAGGGGAGACCAGGAGGAACCAGGAAGUGCUGGCGACAGCAGAGGCACCGUGACCCCCCCAUCCUCCCACUGCACCAAGCUGAGACUGCCUUAAGACGUGUAGCUGCUCUCCGGUGCGUCCCGGUGACACGGUGACAGCCAGACACAGCGCCAGCGGCAUCCACCGGGCUCCGGUACCG
This is a non-coding RNA of Zonotrichia albicollis (white-throated sparrow), 517 nucleotides long. The record is from RefSeq and is a predicted model, not a curated record. Lineage: Eukaryota; Metazoa; Chordata; Aves; Passeriformes; Passerellidae.